Molecule: long non-coding RNA, 1026 nt
Organism: Cucurbita maxima (winter squash)
Lineage: Eukaryota; Viridiplantae; Streptophyta; Magnoliopsida; Cucurbitales; Cucurbitaceae
Exons: 2
Source: RefSeq, a predicted model, not a curated record
UAACCAAGAUAUUUCUUUGAAUGUUACGUUGAAGGUGCGCUGUGGUAUUACGCACGCUGAAUUUACAUCUUCAACCGAAAAAUUCUUGAUCAUUCCAAAAACCCUUUGUAGAGCUUCUACAGGCCAUUCUUAUAUCUUGGAUUUGAAAAUAGAUUCUGUAUUAGGUAGUUCUUACGGUUACAGUUUCUAAUAAGCAAUUAAUUAACCAUGUAUUGAGGAUCAUUAUUAUGGAUUCUGGAUCAAGUAUGAGUUUCCUUAUAGAUACAAUUUCUUGUAGUAUAGAAAUUUGUCCAGAAAAUUUAUGUUGAAUUCAUUUAUUUAUAUUACUAACCAUUAAAAAUUCCAAGAUAUUGGGCAGGAAUCUUCUCGAAGGAAAGAAGAAAAUUCUUUGGAACACUGUUAUUAAGUCUCUCAUUGAUUGGUCAGGAAGAAAUAAGAAAAAUUGUAAAAUUCACUGGAACAAUGUUAUUAGGCGUCUUCCAUUGAAAACUUAACGUCAAAGAAAACUGAUAAAUUUUCCGAUAGUUUUAAUCAUAUUUGUAUUUUUUGGAAAAGGGGGCAUGCCACAAAAUGGAGCUCGCUUUGUAAAGCCUUUUGUAAUGAGAAUUUGGUGCCAAUUGGAGUGUUUCUUCCUCAUCCUGUGUUUUGUAUUUCGUUUUUCGAUGAGUGGAUCCAUUUCUGAAACCGAAGGAAAGGAAGCCGGAACCAGCUACAAAAUGAAGGAUAUGUUCAGCGAAGGUUCCAAUUUAAAUCAUCUAGAGAUUGUAUCUGGAUUGGUGUUGGCUUUAAAUUGUUAUUUUGCUUUCUCAUUAGAAUUUGUUAUUAGUUCUAAGAUUCUCGGUUAGACCUGACUAGUGAUCUUUAUCUUUAAAUAACCAGAUGAGAAACGUUUCUUUGGCCACGAUCCAAAAGUUUCUCAUCGACUAUUCUCGAAUUGGAUGAAGGUGGGGAAUGUAUUCGAACAGUUGGGUGUGUGGUGGAUCCUUAUGCUGUCUAGAUUUGCAGAAGGAAAACCAAAAACAAGAA